Molecule: ribosomal RNA, 303 nt
Filed under: uncultured bacterium
Lineage: Bacteria
Description: partial 16S ribosomal RNA
Rfam family: Bacterial small subunit ribosomal RNA
Source: RNAcentral
AGCAGUCGCCACGGUAAUACGAAGGGGGCUAGCGUUGCUCGGAAUUACUGGGCGUAAAGGGCGCGUAGGCGGACAGUUCAGUCGGGGGUGAAAGCCCGGGGCUCAACCUCGGAAUUGCCUUCGAUACUGGCUGUCUUGAGUAUGAGAGAGGUGUGUGGAACUCCGAGUGUAGAGGUGAAAUUCGUAGAUAUUCGGAAGAACACCAGUGGCGAAGGCGACACACUGGCUCAUUACUGACGCUGAGGCGCGAAAGCGUGGGGAGCAAACAGGAUUAGAUACCCGCGUAGUCCCUGUCUCUUAUAC